CCUACGGGUGGCUGCAGUGGGGAAUAUUGGACAAUGGGGGCAACCCUGAUCCAGCCAUGCCGCGUGUGUGAAGAAGGCCCUCGGGUUGUAAAGCACUUUCAGUGAGGAAGAACGCCUGGUGGUUAAUACCCAUCAGGAAAGACAUCACUCACAGAAGAAGCACCGGCUAACUCCGUGCCAACAGCCGCGGUAAUACGGAGGGUGCGAGCGUUAAUCGGAAUUACUGGGCGUAAAGCGCGCGUAGGUGGCUUGAUAAGCCGGUUGUGAAAGCCCCGGGCUCAACCUGGGAACGGCAUCCGGAACUGUCAAGCUAGAGUGCAGGAGAGGAAGGUAGAAUUCCCGGUGUAGCGGUGAAAUGCGUAGAGAUCGGGAGGAAUACCAGUGGCGAAGGCGGCCUUCUGGACUGACACUGACACUGAGGUGCGAAAGCGUGGGUAGCAAACAGGAUUAGAUACCCUUGUAGUC
This 465-nucleotide ribosomal RNA is filed under the name Vreelandella stevensii. RNAcentral's name for it is "partial 16S ribosomal RNA". It matches the Rfam family "Bacterial small subunit ribosomal RNA", at positions 338 to 795 of the family's 1533-position model. Lineage: Bacteria; Pseudomonadati; Pseudomonadota; Gammaproteobacteria; Oceanospirillales; Halomonadaceae. The record is from RNAcentral.